UCACUGGCAUCAGCCUUCCCCUUCAGUCUCCCUCGGAUGCUUUCUUUCCCAUAGAUAUCCAAAAAAGAUAAAGAAAUCCCUGCUCUCCUCGCUGCCACCUCCCGUCGGUUUCCAUUGUCGCCUUCCUCUCCAUCGUCACCGAUGUCAAGCUUUCCUUCCAAUCUCCAUCGAGUGCUUUUCUUCACAUAGAUCUUCGAAAAAGAGAAAGAAAUGAAAAGAAAAAAAAAUAAAAAACUUCUUCUUU
Molecule: long non-coding RNA, 244 nt
Filed under: Elaeis guineensis (African oil palm)
Lineage: Eukaryota; Viridiplantae; Streptophyta; Magnoliopsida; Arecales; Arecaceae
Description: long non-coding RNA (EGUI_LNC052819)
Source: RNAcentral